Molecule: long non-coding RNA, 5333 nt
Filed under: Sus scrofa (pig)
Lineage: Eukaryota; Metazoa; Chordata; Mammalia; Artiodactyla; Suidae
Description: lncRNA (ENSSSCG00015003052.1)
Source: RNAcentral
CGGACUUGCCUGGGAAGGGGAGAGCGAGAGCCCGCCGGACUGGGCUGCGGGCCCGCGGAGCUGGGCACCUCUGCGACCUGCAGCGACACAGGAGCCCGGCCGCCCAACCCGCGCAGCCCGAGCCCGCACCCGCCAGCCGGCCCCUCUGGGAUGUCCGGGGAACCCAGGCAUCCAGGACGGCGGUAGAGCGAGCCCGAGGAUGGGACGGCGCCCGCAGCUCCGGCUCGUCAAGGUAAGAGCGAGCUGGUCAGCCUUCGAGCGCAAGCAGCUCUGGGGGCGCGGGGCUCGGUGGGUUGUGGGUGUGAUGCGAGGGCUUGGGUGUCACUGAGAAGAACUGUGUCCAGGGGCGGCCGGCGUUUGAGGGGCAGCCCAACUCCCUCUUCCAGGACCUUUGGAGGGGGCGUUGGGCGGUGGGAGGAGAACUCAGGUGCAAAAAGAAAUUGUUGUGGCGAAGCUGACGGGCCGUAGGCGUUGCGGGGGGCGGGGGGGACGCCCACCCGGGUAACCAGCUCUGUGCCGGGAAUCGCUCUAGGCGUUGGGAACCGACCCACCCUUCCUGUGUAGACCAGGGUUCCGGGACGAGAGGCUCUGGAGAGGGGUUUCCCACCCGCCCCAGCACCCUCUCUUCAACUCCCCCACUCUGCACGCCCCCCCGCCCUGUCCCUGGGAGCUCUUUCCUGCCCCUGCAAGUCCGGGGAGAUAAAUGCCCCCCGCGCCGGAGAGCCCUGGAUCGCAAUCUCCGGGGAGCAGACCGUGCAUCCGGCGGUAGUUACCGUUCCGCCGCCGCCGCCGCCGGCCCGCCCGCCGGAGCACCACGCUCGCUCUUCCAGCCUUUGCACGCGCGGGUCCCCGCGCCUGCUCCUUCCUGCCCGAGCUCUGGCGACGCGAUUCCGGCGCCCGGAGUUUAGGAAAGUCGCCAGACCGCACGUCCAGCGUCUGUCCGCUGAAGUUCGGGGGCGGCCGGGGCUGCCCGCGGGCCCAGGGAAAGGCUAGGGGGUCGACAGCUCGGCCCGCCGCUAGUGCCAGCCGCUACUUCCCCAUGACAAGCGAUCCCAAAGCGGUUCCGCUUACGAGGUGUAGGCUCGAAGCAGCAGCCAGAGCGAGGGGUAGGUGGGCCUCGGCGCUGCCGCGGGGGAGUCCAGCGCGGCCCUAGCCUGAGGAUCCGGACCCCGCUGGGUCAGUGUGGACGGCCUGUGGAAAAACAGACACCAGCUUGACUGGAUUCAGUGCAUUUAAGAAUUGAAUGGAUUUGGUAGAGGGGCGCGGAUUGACUGAAUUUCAUUUUUUCCUAUCAGUUAUUAAACGUAUAUCAGCAUACAAAGUGGUUUGAGGUAAACCAUCAAGAUUUUAAAAUGCAACUGCUGCCAGGUCAUCAGUUGACACGUUACCAGUUACUAAGGCUUUCUCCAUCCUCUUCCUCCCUCUCUAGAAUAUUUAUAAGUUGAUUUUUUAAAAUGCCUGGGGAUUGGUCUAAUUGAACCCAUAUCCUGGCCCUACCCAUUAACUGAGGACUGGGGAUGAACCCAGAGAUUAUUUUCUGGGUGAUCAAGGAGACCAAGGAAGGGAGGGAGGAAUAAAAACAUCUAGAGAGGUUGAAUAGAUGGCACUGAAUGGUAAAAUUUUCCAAAAGGCUAGUGUGUACUGAAACUUGGCCUAAAUCUGCAAAUCAAUUAGACCCAAUUCAACCUUUUAAAAUAAUUCAAAAGAUUGAACUUUUUUGUUUUUGAGUUUACAUGGUAAUUGGUAAAUGUUCUUUCUCUGACCUUUCUUCGAAUCACAUGCAAAUCUCUGCUUAAAAUUAUGAUGCUUUACUAAAAAUUUUUUUUUUCUGUUAUUGUAUGUGUUUUCCCUACUAAGUGGUAAGGUGUGUUUCUUUAAGUCUCGCCUAAUGAAUUCAGUAGGUGCUCAAUAAAUACAUACCAUGGUGAAUGAGAGGCAGCUAAUGCUGAUUUCAAUGAAAUAAUUACCUUUUUCCUUUUAUUUUUGUAGCAUAUAUAACUUUCUCAGCAUUGUUCUACCUGCUUUGCAAAUAUUAAGUCAUUUAGUCCUCAUAAGAACCCUGGGAAGUAGGAAUUAUUAUUGAGGCACAGAGAGGCUAAGUACCUGGUUCAAGGUCAUACAGCCAGUGAGUGGUGGAGCCAGAAUUCAAACCCAGGCACUGUGGCUCUAAGGCUUUUUUUGUUAGCUUUUACCAUAAAAUAUUCUAAGCUGCUUAAAUCUCAUCCUAGACUUGUACCAGAUGAGAGAAAGCAUGGGUGGUUUCGUCAGAAUGCAAGUCUGAAUCUAGGUGGGAUUCAUCCAAAAUCUGACUCUGUCCUCCACAAGUAUGGGGAAAAGAUCCACUCUGGGGCCCUUAGUGUAGGCCUCUCACUGUACUGGUUACAGAGAAUUGGGGAAGAGUGUGUGGGUGACUGGGAGAUUUGUGUGUGUGUGUGUGUGAAUGAGGGAGAGAUGGUAUGCGUGUGUGUGUGCCUGUCUGUGUGGACACCGAGGAUACUGGUGAAAUGCUGUCUGGGUCACCUGCCCACCAGCCACAGCUCCUCACAGGGAGACACAAGUGUGGCUCACAAUGGCAGGUUUGGGUGAGUGUGAGGUGUGGAGGCAGGGGGCUAUGAAUGGAGAGUGAGUUCUGCAGAGAGAGCUGGUUUUAUUGUUAUUGUCAUGAAAGCAAUCUAGUAGUAUUAGACAAAGUUUGAAAACCAGAGGGGGAAAUUAUUACAAUCUUACCCUCCUAAAACAGCUAUUGUUAUCAUUUUGAAAAUAAUCCCUGCAGGCCUUUUUUCAAGUGCAGGUGUGGACAUUGGGAAUGCCUUCUUACUUACUGUCACAUUGGGAAUGCCUUCUCACUUACUGUCACAGACCAAGUCUGUCCUAUGUUAUUCUUGAGCCUCCAGAGGGAGAUUGUCAACAACUCUGUUCCCUGUGAGGGGAUAUUCUUUGCCAUGCCUAUAUCCAUGCACGUUUGGGCCAUUCCAAAUUACUUCUUUGACAAAUAAUACAGAGCCAGGAGUUCCCAUUGUGGCUCAAUAGGUUAAGAACCCUGCUACUAUCCAUAAGCAUUCGUGUUUGAUCCCUGGUCUCACUCAGUGGGUUAAAGAUCCGGCGUUACUGCAAGCUGAUCAGAUGUCACAGAUGUGGCUUGGAUCUGGCAUUGGAUCUGGCUGUGGCAUAAGCUGGCAACUGCAGCUCUGAAAAAAAAUAAAAUAAAAAAUAAAAAUAAUAACAUGGAGCACAGUUUUUGAAGGGAGCAUUGGCAGGAGAGAAAACGAAGGCAAAAAAGAGAUGUAUAUGGCGUGUGGACAACUGGCAUGGCCACUGCCCAGGGACAAAGUAAGAGAGGGCUGACAGCCAGGCCAAGCCCUUAGGAUUUGAUAUGUCCAGCCCUGGGGAGGGGCAGGACUUAGGUCCAGACUUAGGUCCAUCUGGUUCUUAAGGAGGGCAUAGAUUUGGCGAAAAGCAAAACACUGACCCGGAGCCGGUGAGGGCAAGCUCAGGUGGAAAAUCCAUUUCUCACCCUCUCUAACAUUUGGCUACUCGAGGACAUUAGCAUCCAGUGGGGUUCAGCUAUGCAGAACGAGUAUGGAGGGUCAAAGAUGCCCCUUGGCAGCACCUCAAGUGUUCAAGAUGCAAACAAGCCCAUGGGCCUGGGCCCCGGCCAUGAUGUGACCUAGAAGGAAGGGGUUAGGCACAGGGCUGCUCAUUUUAGCAGCUACUGGGGUGAAAAGACCAUCAGCCUAGGAGCUGCUAAAAUGAUGUCAGUCACAGCAAUACCUCUCAUUAGCUGUGUGGCUUCAAGUAGGUCACCUUCCCUCUCUGAGCUACAGUUUCUCUGUAAAGAGAGCUAUUUGACUAGAUUCCCUGUUAGCUUUCAUGUCUCUUGUGGAAGAUCAGUUUCCAGAAACACUCCUUAGGGCCAUAACCUCACAUGAGAAGAGUAGGGUGCGACAGAUUCAGUUUCUCUGCCCCUUCCCAGCUGCAGAACCUCAAUACUUGGACCCAAGUCCCCUCUCUGAGCUUGAGUGUUCCCAGCUAUGAAAUGGAGGCGACACCUCAGGUUAAAAAGAAGUUAAUAUGUGCAAAGUGCCUGGAACAGCAUCAGGUGCAGAGUUUGCUUUCAAAAAAAGUUGCAAGGUGACUGCUCUUCAGAGAAAAUGAGAUAAUGCUUGAAAAAACAACUAGGAAAAGCUCUUGGACUUUCAACAUACAGCAUUUUUGCCUUUUUCACCCUUCACAGCACUGGGACUAAUAAUCCAUUGCUCGUGGUAAGCAUUUACAAAUGUUUGUUGGCUGGCUGGUUGGUGUUAUUGUUGCUUCCUUUGGUUUACUAGUGUAUGGUCUGAGCAGACCCAUUGCUCUUCCCGUUGAAAUGCAGAUGUCAUGUCAAAACAGACUGAGAUGCCAAAAGCACCCGAGCAGAAAAGCCAGCUCUCACACAGAAGAGACUGGAACUUCCCCUUAAGCCCACUAUGGUUAUCUGAAAAGGGAAAAGAAAGCAACAAACAGCCAAUGAAGCGCCUCAAUGAUUUGGAGACCCCUUUAAGGGUGGAGCCUUGGCUGGUCUGAAGGAGAGCAGGUUGGUAGCAGGUGACCUGGGACCUUUCUUGUUUCCUCCUCUGUGAAAAGAGAGGGUGGGGUCAUCUCUCCCAGCUCCAACUCUACCUAACCAUUCAUGGCAUCACCAGAAGGAAGAGCGAGCCCUUUCUGGAGCUAAGGCCAAGUAUUAGCUUACAGUUUUAUAUGCAACGAAUGCAUUUGUUAAUUACAAAUGACUCCUGUCUACAUAGAUCCUCGGGGCUCCUGUCGGCAGAAUCCCUUGGAAGUAAUAUCGUCCAGUCCUUUUUAAAUGCUGAUCUUCCAACUUGUCCCUCUUGGCCAGCCAGCCUUCACUCCACCCAAGGUGGCAGUCAGCAUCUUCUUGUAUUGACGGGAACAUCAGGUGAAGUCGAUGUGGGCUUGAAUCCUGACUCUGCUGUAGAGCUAUGUUAUCAAUCUGAACUUCAGUUUCUUCCUCUGUAAAAAAACCAAACCAAACCAAAACAAAAAACCAAGGGAGUUACUGUUGCAGCUCAGCAGGUUAAGAACCUGACAUAAUAAUACCUGUGAGGAUGUGGGUUUGAUCCUUGGCCUCACUCAGUGGGUUAAAGAUUCUGCAUUGCCGUGAGAUGUGGUGUAGGUCAAAGAAUCAGCUCGGAUCUGGUGUUUCUGUAACUGUGUUUGUGGCUGGCAGCUGCAGCUCCGAUUGGACCCCUAGCCUGGGAACUUCCAUAUGCUGCAGGUGCGGCCACGAAAAGAAAAGGAAAGAAAGAAGGAAAGAAGGAAGGAAAGAAGGAAAG